RNAcentral lists this ribosomal RNA (509 nucleotides) under Escherichia coli. RNAcentral's name for it is "partial 23S ribosomal RNA". It matches the Rfam family "Bacterial large subunit ribosomal RNA", at positions 957 to 1468 of the family's 2925-position model. The record is from RNAcentral. Lineage: Bacteria; Pseudomonadati; Pseudomonadota; Gammaproteobacteria; Enterobacterales; Enterobacteriaceae.
CGAAUACCGGAGAAUGUUAUCACGGGAGACACACGGCGGGUGCUAACGUCCGUCGUGAAGAGGGAAACAACCCAGACCGCCAGCUAAGGUCCCAAAGUCAUGGUUAAGUGGGAAACGAUGUGGGAAGGCCCAGACAGCCAGGAUGUUGGCUUAGAAGCAGCCAUCAUUUAAAGAAAGCGUAAUAGCUCACUGGUCGAGUCGGCCUGCGCGGAAGAUGUAACGGGGCUAAACCAUGCACCGAAGCUGCGGCAGCGACGCUUAUGCGUUGUUGGGUAGGGGAGCGUUCUGUAAGCCUGUGAAGGUGUGCUGUGAGGCAUGCUGGAGGUAUCAGAAGUGCGAAUGCUGACAUAAGUAACGAUAAAGCGGGUGAAAAGCCCGCUCGCCGGAAGACCAAGGGUUCCUGUCCAACGUUAAUCGGGGCAGGGUGAGUCGACCCCUAAGGCGAGGCCGAAAGGCGUAGUCGAUGGGAAACAGGUUAAUAUUCCUGUACUUGGUGUUACUGCGAAGGG